This 407-nucleotide ribosomal RNA is filed under the name uncultured bacterium. RNAcentral describes it as "partial 16S ribosomal RNA". It matches the Rfam family "Bacterial small subunit ribosomal RNA", at positions 29 to 526 of the family's 1533-position model. The record is from RNAcentral.
AUUGAACGCUGGCGGCAUGCCUAACACAUGCAAGUCGAGCGGGCCGGCGGACGGGUGAGUAAUGCCUAGGAAUCUGCCUGGUAGUGGGGGAUAACGUCCGGAAACGGGCGCUAAUACCGCAUACUAUCAGAUGAGCCUAGGUCGGAUUAGCUAGUUGGUGGGGUAAAGGCCUACCAAAGCGACGAUCCGUAACUGGUCUGAGAGGAUGAUCAGACACAAUGGAACUGAGAAACGGUCCAGACUCCUACGGGAGGCAGGAGUGGGGAAGAAGGGACAAUGGGCGAAAGCAUGAUGCAGCCAAGCCGCGUGUGUGAAGAAGGUCUUCGGGGUGUAAAGCACUUUAAGUUGGGAGGCGUUACAAGCAGAAUAAGCACCGGCUGACUUCGUGACAGCAGCAGCGGUAAUAC